RNAcentral lists this ribosomal RNA (394 nucleotides) under uncultured bacterium. RNAcentral's name for it is "bacterial SSU rRNA". It matches the Rfam family "Bacterial small subunit ribosomal RNA", at positions 30 to 424 of the family's 1533-position model. The record is from RNAcentral.
AUUGAACGCUGGCGGCAUGCUUUACACAUGCAAGUCGAGCGGCAACACGGGGGCAACCCUGGUGGCGAGUGGCGAACGGGUGAGUAAUACAUAGGAACGUAUCCUGAAAUGGGGGAUAGCUCGGCGAAAGCCGGAUUAAUACCGCAUACGAUCUACGGAUGAAAGCAGGGGAUUCGCAAGAACCUUGCGUUUCUGGAGCGGCCUAUGUCUGAUUAGCUAGUUGGCGGGGUAAAAGCCCACCAAGGCGACGAUCAGUAGCUGGUCUGAGAGGAUGAUCAGCCACACUGGGACUGAGACACGGCCCAGACUCCUACGGGAGGCAGCAGUGGGGAAUUUUGGACAAUGGGGCGAACCCUGAUCCAGCCAUGCCGCGUGAGUGAAGAAGGCCUCGGUU